Molecule: ribosomal RNA, 118 nt
Filed under: Danio rerio (zebrafish)
Lineage: Eukaryota; Metazoa; Chordata; Actinopteri; Cypriniformes; Danionidae
Source: RNAcentral
AGCCACAGUCAUAUCACCCUGCAGCCCAAGAACGGUUACUUACUGAAAAUAAACAGGGCUGAGCCUGGUCAGUACCUGGAUGAAAGACCAAAUGGAAAAAACUAGGUUGCUGUUGGAA